GAGGAAGUAUGCAAGAGGUUAAAGCAAGUUGACUGUAAAUCAAUGGACGUUCGUCUUCAGGGGUUCGAAUCCCUUCUCCCUCA
This 83-nucleotide transfer RNA is filed under the name Symbiochloris sp. SG-2018. RNAcentral describes it as "tRNA-Tyr". It matches the Rfam family "tRNA". Rfam says of the family: Transfer RNA (tRNA) molecules are approximately 80 nucleotides in length. Their secondary structure includes four short double-helical elements and three loops (D, anti-codon, and T loops). Lineage: Eukaryota; Viridiplantae; Chlorophyta; Trebouxiophyceae; Trebouxiales; Trebouxiaceae. The record is from RNAcentral.